RNAcentral lists this ribosomal RNA (844 nucleotides) under uncultured organism. Its description in RNAcentral is "bacterial SSU rRNA". It matches the Rfam family "Bacterial small subunit ribosomal RNA", at positions 582 to 1414 of the family's 1533-position model. The record is from RNAcentral.
AGUAAGUCAGAAGGUAAUCUACGGGCUCAACCCGUAUCUCGCUGUUUGAUACUGUUCUUCUUGAGUACUGGAGAGGGAAACGGAAUUCCAGGUAUACCGGUGGAAUGCGUAGAUAUCUGGAAGAACACCAGUAGCGAAGGCGGUUUCCUGGCCACAUUACUGACGCUGAGGCUCGAAAGCGCUGGGGAGCAAACAGGAUUAGAUACCCUGGUAGUCCACGCCGUAAACGAUGGGCACUAGAUAUCGGGGAAUUCGAUUUCUUCGGUGUCGCAGUUAACGCGAUAAGUGCCCCGCCUGGCGGAGUACGCCCGCAAGGGUGAAACUCAAAGGAAUUGACGGGGGCCCGCACAAGCGGUGGGGCAUGCGCUUUAAUUCGAUGCAACGCGAAGAACCUUACCUGGGUUUGACAUGGGAGUGAAACUUCCCAGAGAUGGGAAGCCUUCCUUCGGGAACACUCCACACAGGUGCUGCAUGGUUGUCGUCAGCUCGUGUCGUGAGAUGUUGGGUUAAGUCCCGCAACGAGCGCAACCCUCGCCCUUAGUUGCCAUCAGGUAAUGCUGGGAACUCUAAGGGGACCGCCUGGAACAACCAGGAGCACGGUGGGGAUGAUGUCAAAUCAUCAUGGCUCUUACGUCCAGGGCUAGACGCGUGCUACAAUGGUCGGUACAGAAGGAUGCCAAGUCGUGAGACUGAGCUAAUUCAUGAAAACCGGCUUCAGUUCGGAUUGGAGUCUGCAAUUCGACUCCAUGAAGGUGGAAUCGCUAGUAAUCGCAGGAUCAGCAUCCCGCGCCUGAAUAUGUUCCCGGGCCUUGUACACACACGCCCGUCAAGCCACGAAAGAUGG